This 492-nucleotide ribosomal RNA is filed under the name uncultured bacterium. Its description in RNAcentral is "partial 16S ribosomal RNA". It matches the Rfam family "Bacterial small subunit ribosomal RNA", at positions 29 to 507 of the family's 1533-position model. The record is from RNAcentral.
AGUGAACGCUGGCGGUAGGCCUAACACAUGCAAGUCGAACGGCAGCACAGUAAGAGCUUGCUCUUACGGGUGGCGAGUGGCGGACGGGUGAGGAAUACAUCGGAAUCUACUUUUUCGUGGGGGAUAACGUAGGGAAACUUACGCUAAUACCGCAUACGACCUACGGGUGAAAGCAGGGGAUAUUCGGACCUUGCCCGAUUGAAUGAGCCGAUGUCGGAUUAGCUAGUUGGCGGGGUAAAGGCCCACCAAGGCGACGAUCCGUAGCUGGUCUGAGAGGAUGAUCAGCCACACUGGAACUGAGACACGGUCCAGACUCCUACGGGAGGCAGCAGUGGGGAAUAUUGGACAAUGGGCGCAAGCCUGAUCCAGCCAUACCGCGUGGGUGAAGAAGGCCUUCGGGUUGUAAAGCCCUUUUGUUGGGAAAGAAAAGCAGCAGGUUAAUACCCCGCUGUUCUGACGGUACCCAAAGAAUAAGCACCGGCUAACUUCGUG